Molecule: ribosomal RNA, 273 nt
Filed under: uncultured bacterium
Lineage: Bacteria
Description: partial 16S ribosomal RNA
Rfam family: Bacterial small subunit ribosomal RNA
Source: RNAcentral
UACGAAGGGUGCAAGCGUUAAUCGGAAUUACUGGGCGUAAAGCGCGCGUAGGUGGUUUGUUAAGUUGGAUGUGAAAGCCCCGGGCUCAACCUGGGAACUGCAUCCAAAACUGGCAAGCUAGAGUAUGGCAGAGGGUGGUGGAAUUUCCUGUGUAGCGGUGAAAUGCGUAGCUCGAGGAAGGAACACCAGUGGCGAAGGCGACCACCUGGGAUAAUACUUACACUGAGUUGCGCAAGCGUGGUUAGCCAACAGUAUUAGAUACCCCGGUAGUCC